AAGCCGGUUUGGGAAGAAAAGAAACUAGUCCUGCAAAUCCAUCUUGACUAUGUGAGUUACUGUAUAUCACUAAAACAAAUGUGCUUUUUUUGCUAUGCUAAAUUAAUUAUAAGUAGAUAGAUAUCAAUACUUUUGUAAAAUCAAAAUUAGACCAUUUUUAUUCUCAUUCAUCAGGUAAUUUCCGAGAUGAGUCUGAGAAAAGAUGAAGUUCCUCAACUUUUAUAAGAGCGAGGUGGGUUUGCAAAAUCCGAGGAAAAAGAAAUAUUCACUGAAUUUAAAAUUUCAAGGUAUGUUUUUAACCAUCUAUUAAUUUCUCAUUGGUUUCGUAAUCUAGAGAUUAGACUUAAUCUCUUCCCUCUUUUUAUUUGUCAUGUACAGUGGUUCCAACUGAAGCUGACAGAAGAAUGCCCCCUUGCUACAAUACAAUUGGCUAGAAAUUAAAGAGGAUGGUUUCUGGGUUCGUUUACAGUGCAAGGUGUCGUUGGAGGAUAACUUGCAUCGCUUGUUCAAUUCGAUCAUGCUUAAAGUUUGGUCAGCAAAAUUAAUAAUAAGUUUUCCAAUUAUGUUGCGUUUUUUUAUUUCAACUA
Molecule: long non-coding RNA, 587 nt
Filed under: Gossypium barbadense (sea-island cotton)
Lineage: Eukaryota; Viridiplantae; Streptophyta; Magnoliopsida; Malvales; Malvaceae
Description: long non-coding RNA (GBAR_LNC000127)
Source: RNAcentral